Anguilla anguilla (European eel) is the source of this 72-nucleotide small nucleolar RNA. RefSeq annotates it as small nucleolar RNA SNORD30. The record is from RefSeq and is a predicted model, not a curated record. NCBI's taxonomy places the organism in Eukaryota, Metazoa, Chordata, Actinopteri, Anguilliformes, Anguillidae. The transcript has a single exon.
GCAAAUGAUGAUUUUCCCUUUGGAAUCUCGUUCGUCUGAUUUUCCUGUUGAGAAAUGGAAUUGCUGACUGCA